UGGGGAAUUUUGCACAAUGGGCGCAAGCCUGAUGCAGCCAUGCCGCGUGUAUGAAGAAGGCCUUCGGGUUGUAAAGUACUUUUAGCGGGGAGGAAGGGAGUAAAGUUAAUACCUUUGCUCAUUGACGUUACCCGCAGAAGAAGCACCGGCUAACUCCGUGCCAGCAGCCGCGGUAAUACGGAGGGUGCAAGCGUUAAUCGGAAUUACUGGGCGUAAAGCGCACGCAGGCGGUUUGUUAAGUCAGAUGUGAAAUCCCCGGGCUCAACCUGGGAACUGCAUCUGAUACUGGCAAGCUUGAGUCUCGUAGAGGGGGGUAGAAUUCCAGGUGUAGCGGUGAAAUGCGUAGAGAUCUGGAGGAAUACCGGUGGCGAAGGCGGCCCCCUGGACGAAGACUGACGCUCAGGUGCGAAAGCGUGGGGAGCAAACAGG
This 429-nucleotide ribosomal RNA is filed under the name Chloroflexota bacterium. Its description in RNAcentral is "Chloroflexi bacterium partial 16S ribosomal RNA". It matches the Rfam family "Bacterial small subunit ribosomal RNA", at positions 355 to 776 of the family's 1533-position model. Lineage: Bacteria; Bacillati; Chloroflexota. The record is from RNAcentral.